GAUGAACGCUGGCGGCGUGCCUAAUACAUGCAAAUCGAGCGAACAGAUGAGGAGCUUGCUCCUCUGACGUUAGCGGCGGACGGGUGAGUAACACGUGGAUAACCUACCUAUAAGACUGGGAUAACUUCGGGAAACCGGAGCUAAUACCGGAUAAUAUAUUGAACCGCAUGGUUCAAUAGUGAAAGACGGUUUUGCUGUCACUUAUAGAUGGAUCCGCGCCGCAUUAGCUAGUUGGUAAGGUAACGGCUUACCAAGGCAACGAUGCGUAGCCGACCUGAGAGGGUGAUCGGCCACACUGGAACUGAGACACGGUCCAGACUCCUACGGGAGGCAGCAGUAGGGAAUCUUCCGCAAUGGGCGAAAGCCUGACGGAGCAACGCCGCGUGAGUGAUGAAGGUCUUCGGAUCGUAAAACUCUGUUAUUAGGGAAGAACAAAUGUGUAAGUAACUAUGCACGUCUUGACGGUACCUAAUCAGAAAGCCACGGCUAACUACGUG
RNAcentral lists this ribosomal RNA (497 nucleotides) under uncultured bacterium. RNAcentral describes it as "partial 16S ribosomal RNA". It matches the Rfam family "Bacterial small subunit ribosomal RNA", at positions 28 to 507 of the family's 1533-position model. The record is from RNAcentral.